GGCUCAGGAUGAACGCUGGCGGCGUGCUUAACACAUGCAAGUCGAGCGAUGAAGUUUCCUUCGGGAAACGGAUUAGCGGCGGACGGGUGAGUAACACGUGGGUAACCUGCCUCAUAGAGUGGAAUAGCCUUCCGAAAGGGAGAUUAAUACCGCAUAAUGUUGAAAGAUGGCAUCAUCAUUCAACCAAAGGAGCAAUCCGCUAUGAGAUGGACCCGCGGCGCAUUAGCUGGUUGGUGGGGUAACGGCCUACCAAGGCGACGAUGCGUAGCCGACCUGAGAGGGUGAUCGGCCACAUUGGGACUGAGACACGGCCCAGACUCCUACGGGAGGCAGCAGUGGGGAAUAUUGCACAAUGGGGGAAACCCUGAUGCAGCAACGCCGCGUGAGUGAUGAAGGUUUUCGGAUCGUAAAGCUCUGUCUUUGGGGAAGAUAAUGACGGUACCCAAGGAGGAAGCCACGGCUAACUACGUGCCAGCAGCCGCGGUAAUACGUAGGUGGCGAGCGUUAUCCGGAUUUACUGGGCGUAAAGGGAGCGUAGGCGGAUGAUUAAGUGGGAUGUGAAAUACCCGGGCUCAACUUGGGUGCUGCAUUCCAAACUGGUUAUCUAGAGUGCAGGAGAGGGGAGUGGAAUUCCUAGUGUAGCGGUGAAAUGCGUAGAGAUUAGGAAGAACACCAGUGGCGAAGGCGACUCUCUGGACUGUAACUGACGCUGAGGCUCGAAAGCGUGGGGAGCAAACAGGAUUAGAUACCCUGGUAGUCCACGCCGUAAACGAUGGAUACUAGGUGUGGGGGUUUCAACACCUCCGUGCCGCCGCUAACGCAUUAAGUAUUCCGCCUGGGGAGUACGGUCGCAAGAUUAAAACUCAAAGGAAUUGACGGGGACCCGCACAAGUAGCGGAGCAUGUGGUUUAAUUCGAAGCAACGCGAAGAACCUUACCUACACUUGACAUCCCUUGCAUUACUCUUAAUCGAGGAAAUCCCUUCGGGGACAAGGUGACAGGUGGUGCAUGGUUGUCGUCAGCUCGUGUCGUGAGAUGUUGGGUUAAGUCCCGCAACGAGCGCAACCCUUGUCGUUAGUUACUACCAUUAAGUUGAGGACUCUAGCGAGACUGCCUGGGUUAACCAGGAGGAAGGUGGGGAUGACGUCAAAUCAUCAUGCCCCUUAUGUGUAGGGCUACACACGUGCUACAAUGGCUGGUACAGAGAGAUGCAAUACCGCGAGGUGGAGCCAAACUUUAAAACCAGUCUCAGUUCGGAUUGUAGGCUGAAACUCGCCUACAUGAAGCUGGAGUUACUAGUAAUCGCGAAUCAGAAUGUCGCGGUGAAUACGUUCCCGGGUCUUGUACACACCGCCCGUCACACCAUGAGAGUUGGCAAUACCCGAAGUCCGUGAGCUAACCGCAAGGAGGCAGCGGCCGAAGGUA
RNAcentral lists this ribosomal RNA (1424 nucleotides) under uncultured organism. RNAcentral describes it as "16S ribosomal RNA". It matches the Rfam family "Bacterial small subunit ribosomal RNA". The record is from RNAcentral.